RNAcentral lists this ribosomal RNA (465 nucleotides) under uncultured bacterium. RNAcentral describes it as "partial 16S ribosomal RNA". It matches the Rfam family "Bacterial small subunit ribosomal RNA", at positions 339 to 795 of the family's 1533-position model. The record is from RNAcentral.
CUACGGGGUGCUCCAGUGGGGAAUCUUGCGCAAUGGGGGAAACCCUGACGCAGCAACGCCGCGUGGGUGAUGAAGGUUUUCGGAUUGUAAAACCCUGUCACAAGGGACGAAGUUUAGUGAGUUUAAUAGACUUAUUAUUUGACGGUACCUUGAGAGGAAGCCCCGGCUAACUCCGUGCCAGCAGCCGCGGUAAUACGGAGGGGGCAAGCGUUGUUCGGAAUUACUGGGCGUAAAGAGCACGUAGGUGGUCUUGCAAGUCGAGUGUGAAAUCCCUUGGCUCAACCAAGGAAUCGCGCUCGAAACUGCAUGACUAGAGUACAGGAGAGGAGAGUGGAAUUCCCAAUGUAGCGGUGGAAUGCGUAGAUAUUGGGAGGAACACCAGUGGCGAAGGCGUCUCUCUGGACUGAUACUGACACUGAGGUGCGAAAGCUAGGGGAGCAAACGGGAUUAGAUACCCCCGUAGUC